UAUAAUUGUUUUCUUAUCUAGGUUAUCUUGAAGAAAAUAGCAUCUUGAGAUUCAAUAAAGAUUGUAAACCGUGAGAAAAGUGGCACUUUAAGAUUCAUAAAGAUUUACUAAAUAUAGAAUAUAUAUCGAUG
This is a long non-coding RNA of Pogonomyrmex barbatus (red harvester ant), 131 nucleotides long. NCBI's taxonomy places the organism in Eukaryota, Metazoa, Arthropoda, Insecta, Hymenoptera, Formicidae. The record is from RefSeq and is a predicted model, not a curated record.